RNAcentral lists this ribosomal RNA (253 nucleotides) under uncultured bacterium. RNAcentral's name for it is "partial 16S ribosomal RNA". It matches the Rfam family "Bacterial small subunit ribosomal RNA", at positions 524 to 776 of the family's 1533-position model. The record is from RNAcentral.
UACGUAGGGGGCGAGCGUUGUCCGGAAUCAUUGGGCGUAAAGAGCGUGUAGGUGGCUCGGUAAGUCCGCUGUGAAAGUCCAGGGCUCAACCCUGGAAAGCCGGUGGAAACUGUCGAGCUCGAGUCCGGAAGAGGCGAGUGGAAUUCCUGGUGUAGCGGUGAAAUGCGCAGAUAUCAGGAGGAACACCAAUGGCGAAGGCAGCUCGCUGGGACGGUACUGACACUGAGACGCGAAAGCGUGGGGAGCAAACAGG